UAUGGCCUGAGUUUAGUGUUCCUGUUCCUGAUGAAUGAGCUGUGUAUAUUCCUGACAUGAUUGCUACCGGUUUUAUUUAUAUUUCUACCCCACUGGGAGCAUGUGUUUAUCAGGUGCUUACCUGCCCAAGUAACACGAGAGACUAUCAGAGCUGGGGCAAGCAUCCAAGAAAACAAGGAACUUUUAGGGUGUAGAUGCUUGCGCUUGUAAGAAGCCUCGUCCAUGACUCCAUGAUGGUAGUGAAGGUUGGGAUUCCAUCUAGGCUGCAGCAUCAAGGAUGAUUUGGUCCAGUUUCAAAUCAAUCUGGUUGCUUCCUGCUAAUUCAAUCUCAGGCACAUGUGUGGAUUUUCAAGUGAUUGAGAUGUCAAUGUCAUGGUUGUUGAGCUCCAGCAAAAACGACACCUUGAGCAAAUGAAAUGAAGCUCCAACAAAAGUGACACCUUGAGCAAAUGGAAUAACCAGCAUGUAAGGUUAGGGGCCAAAAUCACUUGCAAAUGGAACAAUAUAGUUGGAUCAGGGAGCUGCUUGUUUGUUCCUAAGAUGAUGUUCGUUGGGGACAAACCGCGAAGGUCCACAAGGGGAAGCAAGUGACGAUACUUUUGAGGCAUGCAUACUCGUGCCUCACAUGUCUGUGGCUACUUUAUUGGACUGAAUUUCAAGUAUCUGCUUUAGUUGUUGUUUUAGCUCUUGCCGAAAUGAAUGGGUGUUAUGCACAGGAUCCUUGCAAAAAGAGGGUAAUAGUAUACUUCAAGUUAAUUAGUCUCUAGGUUGCUUCCAUCCGUUAUAGUAUUGUGCAGACUGAUGACUGGUAUGCGUUUGAGGUUUUUUGUUUAAAUUUUAGUAGGCAAUAGGGUACUGUGAUCAAAACAUUAGUGUGGGAUGUCCUAUCCUUCAAGGACCUUAUAGGAAAUAUUAGUGAUGGUGUCAACAGACCUCCAGAGAUCUCUAAUGUGCUCACAAGAGAAUAAAAAUCUAUUGUAUGAC
Sorghum bicolor (sorghum) is the source of this 984-nucleotide long non-coding RNA. RefSeq lists it as uncharacterized. The transcript is spliced from 3 exons. The record is from RefSeq and is a predicted model, not a curated record. Lineage: Eukaryota; Viridiplantae; Streptophyta; Magnoliopsida; Poales; Poaceae.